GCCUAGAUAGCUCAGUUAGUAGAGCAGCUCACUUGUAAUGAGCAGGUCGGGGGUUCAAAUCCGCCUCUAGGCUCCA
Molecule: transfer RNA, 76 nt
Filed under: Vibrio parahaemolyticus
Lineage: Bacteria; Pseudomonadati; Pseudomonadota; Gammaproteobacteria; Vibrionales; Vibrionaceae
Description: tRNA-Thr
Rfam family: tRNA
About the family: Transfer RNA (tRNA) molecules are approximately 80 nucleotides in length. Their secondary structure includes four short double-helical elements and three loops (D, anti-codon, and T loops).
Source: RNAcentral